Molecule: ribosomal RNA, 253 nt
Filed under: uncultured prokaryote
Description: partial 16S ribosomal RNA
Rfam family: Bacterial small subunit ribosomal RNA
Source: RNAcentral
UACAGAGGUCUCAAGCGUUGUUCGGAUUCAUUGGGCGUAAAGGGUGCGUAGGCGGCGCGGUAAGUCGGAUGUGAAAUCUCGGAGCUUAACUCCGAAACUGCAUUCGAUACUGCCGUGCUUGAGGACUGGAGAGGAGACUGGAAUUUACGGUGUAGCGGUGAAAUGCGUAGAUAUCAUCAGGAACACCGGAGGCGAAGGCGGCUCACUGGGGGUCUUCUGACGCUGAGGAACGAAAGCCAGGGGAGCGAACGGG